RNAcentral lists this unclassified non-coding RNA (2151 nucleotides) under Leishmania donovani. Its description in RNAcentral is "gene:LdHU3.34.4940(CDS-product:hypothetical_prote in)". The record is from RNAcentral. Lineage: Eukaryota; Euglenozoa; Kinetoplastea; Trypanosomatida; Trypanosomatidae.
UCCCGGGCCGCGCCUGCGCCGUGUGCGGUGCGGCCGCGGUGGGCUGAGCGGCGCCAAACGGUGCUGGGUGUCCCGGCUCCUUGCCGAAUCCUCGCUGCGUGCCUGCGCUCUGCAGGCUGAGAGAGGGUGCGCAUCCGGCCCCCACAGGCCUGCAAGGCAUUUAGUCUUCCAGGUAUUCCGCAUUGCGGUGUAGGCCCUCCCCCUCCCCCCCCCCUCCGUUCUCCGGGGCAAAGGGGAAGCAGGGAUGGCCCGCCCUUGCUGCGAUGACGCUGCUAGACGAGCACAUGUCACGCCCACCUACCUUUCCACGACUGACCCGGUGGCACAGGCUGCUCUCAGUCGGAUACCUAGUGACGUUGCACGCAGUACUCACGUCAUUGGAGUGAAUGCGGGCUCGCACCACCCGAUGCGGGGCACGAAGGGGCGACCCGGCCUGACGGAGACCAUUCUGCACGGUUGGGCUCAGUGUCUCAUGUGCAUGACGUGCGCAGGCGAUGAUGACGACGCCCCGACACGGCACGGCGCAGACGGAGCCACGGAGACGUCCCCGCGCGUCACCCUGGCGCUCGACUGCGUCAUGUGCGACUGGGGCACCGCCCCCCGCGGCGACCCGGAUAGCGCAGCAAGGGGAGGGAAGGCGGGAUCGUCCAUGCCGUCGCGCCCACCACAACCCCACCACACGGACGCACAACUGCAGAGUAUCCGUCAAGGAUGCAUCACAGCCGGUGCCUACUAGCAGCAGCCACCGAGAAAGCUGCCCCAUGUGGUAAGGCCGCUUGUAGACUGCUCUGGACGCGGAAACUGACGCACAUGAAAGCCGCCCUUGAUGCGGUGCCCUCUGCGUCGCCGGUGCGCUGCCUUCUCGCGGGUAUGCUCCUGAAAGAGCUCCGAGGAACCAGGGUUGAGGGAUGGGUGCAGGCCUGCAACGCUCUCACCGCCAGAGGCUCUCGAUAGUGGGCGUGGAUACGGGCUAUUCAUGCUCCCUCCCCUCCCCUCUCCCCACACCACCACUCAUUCUGCAUGUGCGCUGUGCGCGCCAGCGACGAGACAGGGUGACCGCUACCUCUGCGCGAGAGAGCAGGCCAACAUGUUGGUGAAGAUGUACCUAGAGACGUCGGCGCACCAUCUGGAAGACACACCUGAACUGCAGCAGUCCGGCUCCCGUCCUUACCGCUCGCCUGCGCUCACGACUCACAUGGAGCAGCCGAGGAGCCCCCGUUUCCGUGCGGAGUCCCACAAAGGUGUGCCCGAGGGCCUCGCGUCUUCAUUGUGGCGGGCCCGCGGCGUGUGGAGCUCCACCCGAUCACCGAACUGCGCCGUCGGGUCCUCCAGACUCCCAUGUGGAGGGUCGCCGCAUCACAUUGUGGAAUGCCGCGGCCUGAGGCGCCUUCCUGCUCGAGCUCACCCGGCAUGUACGCCGGCCACCCACCUCUUUCCUCCCCCUACCGUGUUACCCGCGGCACGGACACCCCCGCCACUGCCGUGGAGCAGGGCCCUGGACGCGGCCCGGUGCAACUGCAGCCGGCCCGCCCUCGACGACCAGGAUGUGGGCGUCGCGCGACAAUGGCCGGGUGAGCUGUAAUUGUGGGUGCUCGGGUAGGGGGGUGAAUAUAUAUAUAUAUUCGUAUGUUGGCCGCUGCGUGCAAUGUGAACAUGAGAAGACCUUGUGCUGUAUUUCCAAUCAUGGCUGUGAGUUGGCGGCGCUUGUCGGUUGAUAUACCUAUAUAUGCACUGUGCCGCAGAUGAUGUCUUCGGUGUAACGUUUUUUUUUCCGCUUGUGUCCGCGGGUUACGAUUUUGUGGGGUGUUUGAAUAGCUUCACUGUUCUCCUGGAUUUUGCUAUGUUCUUGACUGGGCGAUAGCCCUGUGUGUGUGUGUGUGUCGGCGACUUAGUGCAGUAUAUAUAUAUAUAUAUAUGCAUUUUUUACAGUCUCCCCCUCGCUCAUCUCUCUCGAGCCUGCGAAGCUCCCGUGCCCAUUCACUUCUUUGUGCUGUGCAUGUGUGUGUGUGUGUGUGGGGGCUGCUUCGUUGUUGAGAAAGGCGAGAUGAACAGUCGUGCGCAGAUGCUUGUAUGCAUUCCCCUCCCCUUACCCCACCUUUUUUUACAUGUGAUGGCUGUUUUACGCUUUCGCGCGUGUUCUCGCGGUUGACC